Molecule: long non-coding RNA, 7750 nt
Organism: Bubalus bubalis (water buffalo)
Lineage: Eukaryota; Metazoa; Chordata; Mammalia; Artiodactyla; Bovidae
Exons: 2
Source: RefSeq, a predicted model, not a curated record
GGACGUGAGUCUGAGUGAACUCCGGGAGUUGGUGAUGGACAGGGAGGCCUGGCGUGCUGCGAUUCAUGGGGUCGCAAAGAGUCGGACACGACUGAGUGACUGAACUGAACUGAGAGCCCCAAUAUGUCUAUUUAGAAGCAUUUCCCUGACACCCUCCAUGUGAUCUACACACAUGCAUAUACACGCAAACCUUGGCUUACAGACUGUGUUCAGCACACCUGCAGAUUCUGAGGGGUUCCUUGGAAGAACGUUGGUCCUCCUGGACCGGCAUGUACUUUAGCUUUUGGCACCCAUUGGCAGAUGCUCACAUGUACUGUGUGCUGGGAGAAUGAGAGCCUUCCUGCUGUGAUGGUGCUUGUAAAGCCGCUGCUCGUAUGCCUCUCUCCAGAAGGCCCGCCUCUCCGUCCUCAGUGGCCGACAGAGGUGAAAGCGCCCUUGCUCUGCGGCUCCUUCACGGGGCAGUGGGUGUGUCCGUCGCUCCUGAGGGAGCCGCCAUGGAAACCUUCAGCUGGGGCAACAAGUGUUCUGCUGUUUCUGUACAUGGUUUCACACAGGUCAGGCUGGGCUUGGGGGUUCCUGGGCUGAACACACAGCUUGGGGAAGAUGUUUCCUCUCAUCCUGAAGAAGCUGUGUCGCUGGGAGCCGUCCCCCUGCAGCAGAAUGUAGGGGCAGGGUCACUAGGCAAAGAGUUUCCAUGUGCAAAUUCUGCACAUCCCAACCGCAGGUUUCUGCCAGGCUGUUUAGACCAGCUAAAAAUGGAAUAUAAACAGUUGCAGAAGGAUGCAGUUAGGAGGAGAAACAUUUCUAAGAACUAACCCGUUGCAGUCGGCAAAUGUACGCCUUAGCCCAUUGCAGUAGGGAGGUGAUGGCUCUCUGUUGUUGUCGUUCAUUUCUCAAAGAGUUGUUUUUGUCUAGUAUUUGUACGUGAGUGUUAACGUGUGCACACAUGCAUAUAUAAAUAUAUAUAUUCUAGACAUUUCUUCUUUAAUGUUUCCACCAAAAAUACGUACUUUUAAGUGUAGGAAUAAAAAAAUUGUUCUCAGUUAUUGAAGCUCCUCCAGAAGUAACUCCCCCCCAUGGUGGUUUUUCCUUUCUAAAAUUCAUCUGGAAAAACACUUAAGUUUCUGAUCUUGAUUUUAUCCAGUUCAAGACUGUUAGGAAGAGUUAUUGUAUAACUGAGCAGUGCUUUUAUUAAAAAGAACUGGGCCACUUAUUUGCCUUAGAGUUUCUGGUGUGUUUACAUCUUUUCUAGGUAAACAAAACUUUUAUUGAUGAUAAUAUUUUGAGACUAACGCCCUUGUCACCACCAGUGACGCUGAAAGCCCUCUGCUGUCUGCUGGUCUUAUGUGCUGUCUGAGCCCAUGUGCAACUCCCGGGUGUCUGUGGGACCGUCUGGAGCGCUGGGGGCUGGUUGGUGGGGCUAGACUGAGGGGAGAGAGGCGCUCGGCCCUCUUCUGGCUCUCGGGAGGUGGUGGGGGAGAUGGGACCCGACGUGGACACAAGCGCAGUGAGUGUCAGGAGGCCAGGUCUGUUUUUUAAUUGGAUUGUUUGGCUUUUGAAUCUUGAAUUGUAUGUUUAUAUAUAUUGGCUAUUAACCCCUUAUCAAUCAUUACCAUUUGCAAAUAUUUUUCUCCUGUUCAGUACAUUGUCUUUUUGUUUUGUUGAUGGUUUCCUCAAAAAUGGACAGGAAGAACUGAAUAGACAUUUUUCCAAAUGGCCAUUAGGCACAUGAAAAAGAUGCUGGACAUCACGAAUCAUUAGGGAAAUGCAAAUCAAAACCACAAUGAGAUACUACCUCAUGCCUGUUAGAACAGCUGUCCUCAAAAAGAGCACAAAGAACACAUUUUGAUGAGAGUGUGGAGAAAAGGGAACCCUCCUAUAUUGUCUGUGGGAAUGUAAAUUGGUGCAACCACUGUCGAAAACAGUAUGGAGAUUUUUCAAAAAAAUAAAAACAGAACUACCAUAUGACCUAACAUUUUCAUUCCUAGGAAUAUAUCUGAAAAAAAGGAAAACACUAAUCCAAAAAAGUACAUGCACCCUAGUAUUCAUAGCAGCAUUAUUUACAGUUGCCAAGAUAUGGAAGCAACGUAGAUUUCCAUUAGCAGAUAAAUGAACAAAGAAAAUGUAUAUAUGUGCGUGCGCGCACACACACAAUGGAAUAUUACUCAGCCAUAAAAAAAAAAACAACGAAAUUUUGUCAUUCACAGCACCAUGGGUGGACCUGGAGGGCAUUAUGCUAAGUGAAGUAAGUCUGACAGAGGAAGACAAAUACUGAAUAUAACAGAAAAGCAGGCUCACAGGUGUAGAGAACAAACUAGUGGUUAUCCGUGGAGAGGAGGGGGAGGGGCACAAUAGGGGUAGGGGAUUAAGAGGCACAAACUGUUCUGUAUAAAGUAACCUACAAGGAUACAUUUAUAACACGAGGAAUAAACCCAGUGCUUUAUAAUAACUAUAAAUGGAGCUGGUGCUUAGUGACUAAGUCAUGUCCAACUCUUGUGACUCCAUGGACUGUAGCCCACCAGGCUCCUCUGUCCAUGGGAUUUUCCAGGCAAGAAUACUGGAGUGGGUUGCCAUUUCCUUCUCCAGGGGAUCUUCCUGAGCCAGGGAUCUAACCCACGUCUCCUGCAUUGGCAGGUGGGCUCUUAAGCCAUAGAUGAAAUAUGACCUUUAAAAGUUGGGAAUUGUACACCUGUAACUUAUAUGACAUUGUACAUCAACUGUACUUCAAUGAAAAAAAAGGCAGAAGUGGAAUCUGGACCGCAUGAUCUGUGUGUGGCGUUGUUGGGCGGAACAGUUAAACCCGAGGCCCGCAGGUGGCCUUGUGCCUGUCCAGGGAAGGAGGUAGAGCCAGAUGGGCGAUUCUGUCUGUCUGACCCAACCUCUGCUCAGACCUCAGCCUCCUCUGCCAGGCUGUCUGGGUCUGUCUGUCUGUCUGUUGGCUUCCGUCAGUUUGGACAUAGCUGUGAACUUCUUUUCAAGGACUUGAAGAAAUGCUGACGUUUACUUCAAAUGUUAACUAAGACUCGUGCAGGUGAAUGGCAGGGAUUCCAAUGAACAGAUGUUAAUACAUUCUGAGUGCUUCUCUGCAGCUGACUCUCGAAACCUCCUGGAUCCCUGGACCUUGAGCAUUGUGAGGGACCUUGGGCACUGUCCAGACCAGCCCUGUUAUUUUCCAGGUAAAGGAACCAAAGGCCAGGGACUGAGUGUGCUGUGGGGAUGCCAUGCAGCCUGGUGAAGGCUCCCCAUCUGCGGCUCCCUCUGCUGUCCUCGAGGCCUGCUUGGGGAGGGCUCCCGGGCUGCAGCCAUCUCUUGUUCCCCAUGUGCUCGCCAGCUGAGCAGCUUUGCUUGCCUGACCCUGUUGGUCAGCAUCCGACAGCCCAUCCUCGGGCGGCGGUGGGGUCUGGAGGGUCGUCCUGGAGCUUCACAAGGCAUUCGGCUCUCCGUCUCUCCCCAUCUUCAAGGCGGGUCCAGUUGGGUGGUGGAGGUUCCAGGCCAAGAGCAGGAAGAACACCUGGUGUGGAAGGACAGGGGUUCUGGUCAGGUCCUGGUUGCUGGAGUCCGAGUCCUCAGGGAGUGGCAGAUGGGCAGGAGGCGAGGAGCGGCCUGCGGCGGAUGCGGCCGCUUCUUCCCUGCCGAGCGCAGCCCUGGCCCCUGAGUGCAGGCAGCCCGUGGGCACGGCCCACUGUGGACCCGCCUUGUAAUGGGCUGUAGUGUUUCAUUUCAAAAAGUGGCAAACUGCGGCCGGUUGGUUUCCUUAUUAGAACUCACGUAUUACAUUGGCGAGUAUGUUGAAGGAGAGAAGGGAGUGUUUUGUAAUUUCAGUGUGUCCUGCCUCUGCGCCACACCCCGUCCUGUGGAUGAUUAUUAGAGGACUGGACUUCUGCCCACAACUUGUUUAUCCAUCUCAUCAACUUGUUCGCUUUUUCAGCCCUUCUUCCCUUCACUUUAUCAUGCCAGCUCCAGGGAUCCCUUAUUAAAGGGGUCAAUUAAUCAUGUGAUAUCUUGUUUUUUGCAUCUGAGUUUUCAAGAGCUCUCCAGAUUUUUAUUGCCUAAAGUUCCAUAUGCCAUAGACAUAAUCCCGUCAGCUGUAAAUUGCCUUCUGGAGGAGAAAUUGACAAACAACUUUAUAAUUGCAUUUUUAGACUUAAUAUCUGAGGGCCAAAAGCAUAUUCAAGAUUUAUGGGGUUCCUGAAUUUAAACUAUAAGCAAUAAAAUUUUCUUAAGGUGGGGUCCCAUCUGCAUCUAUUAUUACAAAACCCUUAAAGUUACUUUAGCAUGUGACAUGUUAAUAGUUUUCUUUUUUCUUUUACUUUUUGACAAAUUGUGUCUAAGAAAAUUUGCUUGCAUGGAAAGUUUUCUGUGUUUGCAGACUUGAACAGUUUUGCUGGUUAAGCAGUCUGGGGAUGAUAAACUUUUUUGUCAAAGUAUGACUUUGUUGCUGCAUUCAGGAGAAUCAGAACCUGUAGGACAGGUCUGUUUUAAAGGACUCCCACUCAUUCUGCCCAGGGUGCUGUGGAAGUCAUCUGCCUUGACAGAACUAAAAUAUAUGUAAUCUUUUAAAAAAAUCCACUUUCAGUUUAUUUACAUGAUUUGGAGGAGCACAGGUAUAAAUUAGAAAUUGUCCUCAUUUUGUCCUGAUUAUAAGCAGGGCUGGGCCUGCUGAUCAUUUCAGUGGAUGGUUACCCCCUGGGGUAGUGGGGUUGCAAAGUCAUUGCUGUGGGAGGGGAGAGAUUCCCCUCUGUGACUGCAUUAUCAGUGCUCCUUUGACCCAACUGCACCCUUCUUCUGUACUAAAAUAUACUCAACGUAAAAUUUCCUGUUUUAACCAUUUUUUUGUUUUGUUUUAACCAUUUUUAAGUGUACAGUUCCACAGUGUAAUACUGAUGUUGCUUGACACCCAUCGCCACCGGCCAGCUCCAGAACUGUGUGUUUGCCAGACCGUAGUGCUGUACUUGGUGAACACUAUGACCUCCGCCAGCUCUGAGCUCAGAACCGUCCCCGCCGUCCUGCCUGUGUCUCUCUUCCAGCCCUCCUUUGAUACCCAGGGCUGCUAGGCUGCCCCAAGCCGAGAGGGGCCUGUCCGGAGGCCCGGCCCCCUGCAGGUCCUAAUAAGCCACCUUGGCUUGGAUGGCAGGUGGGCCUCGGGGCAGCGGGGCAGGGAGUGCAGCCGCUCUGCUUUGGGAGUGUGGGGGCUGUAGAGCCAGCCGGCCAGAUUUGCUGAUCGGUGGGGAAGAACUUUGAAGAAAUGCAAAGUUGUAUGUAAUUGUUGGGGAGGUAUUCCUAAUGAAAGCAGGACCCCAGGGCACAGAAAUUGUAAGGCAGAGAGACGCUGAAGAAACGCACCAUCUUAAGACUGAAAGGAUGCUGAGUUGACCCUGGAGCUUUCUGCAUCUGGUCAGCAUGGCUUUGAUGCGGUUGGACUUCUCCAAAGAGGAAGAGGAGGAAGGUUAGCGGGGGAGGUGGAGAAGGCCACGGGCAGGCCUGGGGUGGCAGGACGAGGAGGGGCAGGCCACGGGCUGUGGGGGGAGCAGCCGCCAGCAGGGGACGGAAGCCCCUUUGUGCUCUGCCGGCCCGCUGGAGCCCCCGGUCUGGUAGCUCGUGGUGAAUCUGGACUGCUCUUGAACCUGUGAUUUUUCAGGAGUUUCAAGGCCCUUUGUUGCACACUGACUUUGAAUCUUUUAAUUUCUGAGAUGCUUUCACCUGUAACGGUUAACUGUUUCCUCUGUCUUUAGUUAAGGAACUGUUAUUGGGUGCAGUGAUCAAAACCAAAAUAUCAAACAGGCAGCGGAGAAUCUUCAGUGGAUACAUGUAACAUGCUUUAGAGAAAACUAUAAGCAGGAGAACAUAGUCUGAUCUUUUGCUUUCUGCCUUGAAGCCUGGCCUGUGCUGCUCACAGGAGACCUUAACCCUGACCUUCUGAAAGUGACUUCCGAUCACUCUGAGGGGGCGCUGUGCUCUGAGUCACGAAGGCACAGGUGGCUGUGUGCUCUUUCCACCCUGGCUUGGAGAAGGGGCACUUUAUUGAAGUGGGAGGCUCCAGCUCUGCCUGUGAAAAUGUUAUUUCAUGUCACGAAGCCAGGAUAAGGAGAACUGAAGAGCAGCUUCCCCCCAUUGUUGUGUCAGAAGCAGCCGUGUCAGGAACCCUCACAGUGGGGCAGUGUAUUUAGUUACGAGAGAGCAGUGGGACCAGAUCGGCAUGGCUGGUGUCCUGGGGGGGGCUCCUCUGUCUGCAGAUUCUGGGAGCACUGGACUCCCCGCUGUGAGAGGCUUGGCCAUGUGGCUCCUGUGGCUUGAGCUGCUGUCUUCACCAGGAAGAGCGCAUGGUCUGGGCCGUCCUCUGCUCCAGGAAGGGGACGUGUAAUGUAUGGUGCCGACCAGCUCCCCCGGGAGCAUGGAGCCAGGCCGGCCCCACGGCCUGCAUCCCUGCUGUGGGGACAUUGCGUGGACCCCUCGGGGUCGCCUCGUUUUCAGCCUCGCACACCUGGUGUGUGGUGCUCAGUGGCACCCAGGUGGCCUGGGGAGGUUGUCCAUCCUGUUGCUGCAUGGCCUGCUCCGACAGAGGGCCACGAGGAGUGGAGUCCUCGUGAGAGCCUGCUGAUGGCGGUGUAUCGAUUCCCAGGACAUGCUGGCUGCGUCUAGAGCUGUGCCACGCGCUCACUCGGGGCGGGGGGUGAUGGCUUACCCGUGCAGCGUGUGCCGGGGGGGCGUGCCCGCAUGGUAGCUGGUUCAUUUCCAUGGGGAGUCUGCAUUGUGUGUCCCGGUCACUUUGGGGAAGUGUUGUGCCCGUUGUGUGAAGGCCGCCUUCAGGUGGUGCUGGCACCGGGGGCCACAGGGUGCAGGUGGGCGGCUUUCUGUUGACACCUGUCGCGGGACUGCAGCACGGACGCCAGCAUCAAAAGGUGUGGGAGUCACAUACACUCGGAAGUCCUUCCCGGAAGGUUAGUCUUCAUUUUCCCACACAUAUAUAACCUUUUAGUAUUUUCUCCUAGCUUUUUCAUUAACGUAUGUAAAAAUAUUAAAAGCCCUUGUAUAUUACAUCAAAAACUAUGUCAGCUGCUCCGCUUUUUUCUAUUUAUUAAAACUUUUCAAGCAGUAAAAACAUUUUACUUGUUAAUGAGGGAAAGUGGGAAAAUUAAUGACAGAGAGCGGGAUCCACCGCCACGUCUCCUCUGAGCCACGCACAGCCGGCGUGCUCCUUGCUGCAUGUACUUUAAUUUCCCUGUUAGGGUUCAGUAAGCAAAUGCAAAUAGAUUUAAUGAUUUGCAUCAGUAGAUCAUUUCUCAGUUUAAUAUCCUCUGAUAUUUUGGGUCAAGGACUCUUUCUUUGGGAGGCUGGUACAAUUUCUGGAGCUAAAAUUAUUAAUAUUAGUAAUAGUACAUUAUGUUCAAGUGAAUGGAGAGAAACGUAUCCUUUUUCACAAAGUCAUGUUCACACAGUACUGUGUUGGCCGUGAGCGGUGGAGACAGGAAGCCUGCCUGACGAAGCAGAUGAGCGGAGCAGGACGUCUUCCUGGUGCGGUGCCUUGGAGCUGGGCCUGCAUUGGAUGCUUUUGCCAUGGUGACGCCUCCUCCUGCCCCAGUGAGCUCCAGGCUGUUUGUUUGCGGUCGCUGGGUUGCAUCCUCGAUGAGCAUCUUCGUGAACCUGGGGAACAUUUCCUUAAGCUUCCUGACUUCUUCCCCUACGGUUUCAGCCCCUGUAACACCCUUCCUUUUCUGCAUAGUCAUUUUUGAAAUUAAACGUGUUCACGUAA